RNAcentral lists this ribosomal RNA (498 nucleotides) under uncultured bacterium. Its description in RNAcentral is "bacterial SSU rRNA". It matches the Rfam family "Bacterial small subunit ribosomal RNA", at positions 899 to 1397 of the family's 1533-position model. The record is from RNAcentral.
ACUCAAAUGAAUAGACGGGGGCCCGCACAAGCGGAGGAGCAUGUGGUUUAAUUCGAUGAUACGCGAGGAACCUUACCUAGACUUGAACGUAUUUGGAAUAAUUUGGAAACAGAUUAGCCAGCAAUGGCCAAUUACGAGGUGCUGCAUGGUUGUCGUCAGCUCGUGCCGUGAGGUGUUAGGUUAAGUCCUGCAACGAGCGCAACCCUUACCGUUAGUUACCAGCAUUUAAAGAUGGGGACUCUAGCGGAACUGCCGGCGCAAGCCGUGAGGAAGGUGGGGAUGACGUCAAAUCAGCACGGCCCUUACGUCUAGGGCGACACACGUGCUACAAUGGAUGGUACAGAGGGCAGCUACACAGCGAUGUGAUGCUAAUCUCAAAAACCAUUCUCAGUUCGGAUCGGAGUCUGCAACCCGACUCCGUGAAGUUGGAUUCGCUAGUAAUCGCUCAUCAGCCAUGGAGCGGUGAAUACGUUCCCGGGCCUUGCACACACCGCCCGU